GCUGGCGACCAUGGCAAGAGUGAACCACCUGAUCCCUUCCCGAACUCAGAAGUGAAACCUCUUAGCGCUGAUGGUAGUGUGGGAUUACCCAUGUGAGAGUAAGUCAUCGCCAGCU
This 115-nucleotide ribosomal RNA is filed under the name Acinetobacter baumannii. The record is from RNAcentral. Lineage: Bacteria; Pseudomonadati; Pseudomonadota; Gammaproteobacteria; Moraxellales; Moraxellaceae.